GACGAACGCUGGCGGCGUGGAUUAGGCAUGCAAGUCGAACGGUAGGAUACCUUCGGGUAUCUGAGAGUGGCGAACGGGUGAGUAACACGUAGGUGAUCUACCCUCAAGAUUGGGACAACCCAGGGAAACUUGGGCUAAUACCGGAUGAAAGCAGCAGUGAUGUUGUUUGAAAGGUGGCGUAAGCUGCCGUUUGGGGAUGAGCCUGCGCUCUAUUAGUUAGUUGGCGGGGUAAAGGCCCACCAAGGCGAUGAUGGAUAGGCGGCCUUAACGGGUGGUCGCCCACACUGGGAUUGAGAUACGGCCCAGACUCCUACGGGAGGCAGCAGUCGAGAAUAGUCUACAAUGGCCGAAAGGCUGAUAGUGCGACGCCGCGUGAACGAAGAAGCCCUUCGGGGUGUAAAGUUCUUUUAUAUGUGAGCAGUGCUUUCUAUGUGAACAGCAUGGGGAGAGAGAUAUUAGCAUAUGAAUAAGCAACGGCUAACUCCGUG
RNAcentral lists this ribosomal RNA (488 nucleotides) under uncultured bacterium. Its description in RNAcentral is "bacterial SSU rRNA". It matches the Rfam family "Bacterial small subunit ribosomal RNA", at positions 28 to 507 of the family's 1533-position model. The record is from RNAcentral.